This 1552-nucleotide ribosomal RNA is filed under the name Escherichia coli. RNAcentral's name for it is "bacterial SSU rRNA". It matches the Rfam family "Bacterial small subunit ribosomal RNA". The record is from RNAcentral. Lineage: Bacteria; Pseudomonadati; Pseudomonadota; Gammaproteobacteria; Enterobacterales; Enterobacteriaceae.
AAAUUGAAGAGUUUGAUCAUGGCUCAGAUUGAACGCUGGCGGCAGGCCUAACACAUGCAAGUCGAACGGUAACAGGAAGAAGCUUGCUGCUUUGCUGACGAGUGGCGGACGGGUGAGUAAUGUCUGGGAAACUGCCUGAUGGAGGGGGAUAACUACUGGAAACGGUAGCUAAUACCGCAUAACGUCGCAAGACCAAAGAGGGGGACCUUCGGGCCUCUUGCCAUCGGAUGUGCCCAGAUGGGAUUAGCUUGUUGGUGGGGUAACGGCUCACCAAGGCGACGAUCCCUAGCUGGUCUGAGAGGAUGACCAGCCACACUGGAACUGAGACACGGUCCAGACUCCUACGGGAGGCAGCAGUGGGGAAUAUUGCACAAUGGGCGCAAGCCUGAUGCAGCCAUGCCGCGUGUAUGAAGAAGGCCUUCGGGUUGUAAAGUACUUUCAGCGGGGAGGAAGGGAGUAAAGUUAAUACCUUUGCUCAUUGACGUUACCCGCAGAAGAAGCACCGGCUAACUCCGUGCCAGCAGCCGCGGUAAUACGGAGGGUGCAAGCGUUAAUCGGAAUUACUGGGCGUAAAGCGCACGCAGGCGGUUUGUUAAGUCAGAUGUGAAAUCCCCGGGCUCAACCUGGGAACUGCAUCUGAUACUGGCAAGCUUGAGUCUCGUAGAGGGGGGUAGAAUUCCAGGUGUAGCGGUGAAAUGCGUAGAGAUCUGGAGGAAUACCGGUGGCGAAGGCGGCCCCCUGGACGAAGACUGACGCUCAGGUGCGAAAGCGUGGGGAGCAAACAGGAUUAGAUACCCUGGUAGUCCACGCCGUAAACGAUGUCGACUUGGAGGUUGUGCCCUUGAGGCGUGGCUUCCGGAGCUAACGCGUUAAGUCGACCGCCUGGGGAGUACGGCCGCAAGGUUAAAACUCAAAUGAAUUGACGGGGGCCCGCACAAGCGGUGGAGCAUGUGGUUUAAUUCGAUGCAACGCGAAGAACCUUACCUGGUCUUGACAUCCACGGAAGUUUUCAGAGAUGAGAAUGUGCCUUCGGGAACCGUGAGACAGGUGCUGCAUGGCUGUCGUCAGCUCGUGUUGUGAAAUGUUGGGUUAAGUCCCGCAACGAGCGCAACCCUUAUCCUUUGUUGCCAGCGGUCCGGCCGGGAACUCAAAGGAGACUGCCAGUGAUAAACUGGAGGAAGGUGGGGAUGACGUCAAGUCAUCAUGGCCCUUACGACCAGGGCUACACACGUGCUACAAUGGCGCAUACAAAGAGAAGCGACCUCGCGAGAGCAAGCGGACCUCAUAAAGUGCGUCGUAGUCCGGAUUGGAGUCUGCAACUCGACUCCAUGAAGUCGGAAUCGCUAGUAAUCGUGGAUCAGAAUGCCACGGUGAAUACGUUCCCGGGCCUUGUACACACCGCCCGUCACACCAUGGGAGUGGGUUGCAAAAGAAGUAGGUAGCUUAACCUUCGGGAGGGCGCUUACCACUUUGUGAUUCAUGACUGGGGUGAAGUCGUAACAAGGUAACCGUAGGGGAACCUGCGGUUGGAUCACCUCCUUACCUUAAAGAA